UCAUUAACACGACCCGCCAGUGGAAAAGGGACUUGGGCGAUCUGGCCUGCUGCUGAGGUGGCGGCAGUCGUCCUGCCCUGCCCGCCUACCCUCUCCGUGUACCUCUCCCUGUUGCUUCCCCGGGACGGCGGACCUGUCCGCCCGGGCGACGCAUGCCCCGCACCCUGCCAGCAGGGCGGUUGGGGCGUCUGCGCCCGCGUCGCCUAGGGAAGGUACCCACCACACUCCUUCUUGAACAAGCUGUCUGACACGGGCCCAAGGCCCCCAGGUAUACAAAUACUUGAAAACUUUCAACAACGGAUCUCUUGGUUCUCGCAUCGAUGAAGAACGCAGCGAAAUGCGAUAAGUAAUGUGAAUUGCAGAAUUCAGUGAAUCAUCGAAUCUUUGAACGCACAUUGCGCCCUCUGGUAUUCCUCAGGGCAUGCCUGUUCGAGCGUCACAGAAAACCCCUACUCACAGAAUGUGUGGUGAUGGCGUUUGGUGGGUCCCUUCCGGUCCACCGCGCCCAAAUCAAUGGGCGGACAACUGAUCUCACCAGCUGACUUGGUAAGAUGUAUCCUGUUCGACGAAGCGUUGAACAGAUAUCAGUCAGCAGUGAGGUUAUGUCCUGCCCCCUCAUUUGGACCCCCCGAGCAAUUGUCCCCUGGGUUGACCUCGGAUCAGGCMGGGAUACCCGCUGAACUUAAGCAUAUCAAUAAGCGGAGGAAAA
Molecule: ribosomal RNA, 709 nt
Filed under: Geomorium cf. singeri MES161
Lineage: Eukaryota; Fungi; Ascomycota; Pezizomycetes; Pezizales; Geomoriaceae
Description: eukaryotic LSU rRNA
Rfam family: 5.8S ribosomal RNA (bases 286-439)
Source: RNAcentral